GACGAACGCUGUCGGCGUGCUUAACACAUGCAAGUCGAACGGAAAGGCCCUGCUUUUGUGGGGUGCUCGAGUGGCGAACGGGUGAGUAACACGUGAGUAACCUGCCCUUGACUUUGGGAUAACUUCAGGAAACUGGGGCUAAUACCGGAUAGGAGCUCCUGCUGCAUGGUGGGGGUUGGAAAGUUUCGGCGGUUGGGGAUGGACUCGCGGCUUAUCAGCUUGUUGGUGGGGUAGUGGCUUACCAAGGCUUUGACGGGUAGCCGGCCUGAGAGGGUGACCGGCCACAUUGGGACUGAGAUACGGCCCAGACUCCUACGGGAGGCAGCAGUGGGGAAUAUUGCACAAUGGGCGGAAGCCUGAUGCAGCAACGCCGCGUGCGGGAUGACGGCCUUCGGGUUGUAAACCGCUUUCGCCUGUGACGAAGCGUGAGUGACGGUAAUGGGUAAAGAAGCACCGGCUAACUACGUGCCAGCAGCCGCGGUGAUACGUAGGGUGCGAGCGUUGUCCGGAUUUAUUGGGCGUAAAGGGCUCGUAGGUGGUUGAUCGCGUCGGAAGUGUAAUCUUGGGGCUUAACCCUGAGCGUGCUUUCGAUGCGGGUUGACUUGAGGAAGGUAGGGGGGAAUGGAAUUCCUGGUGGAGCGGUGGAAUGCGCAGAUAUCAGGAGGAACACCAGUGGCGAAGGCGGUUCUCUGGGCCUUUCCUGACGCUGAGGAGCGAAAGCGUGGGGAGCGAACAGGCUUAGAUACCCUGGUAGUCCACGCUGUAAACGGUGGGUACUAGGUGUGGGGUCCAUUCCACGGGUUCCGUGCCGUAGCUAACGCUUUAAGUACCCCGCCUGGGGAGUACGGCCGCAAGGCUAAAACUCAAAGGAAUUGACGGGGCCCCGCACAAGCGGCGGAGCAUGCGGAUUAAUUCGAUGCAACGCGUAGAACCUUACCUGGGUUUGACAUGGAUCGGGAGUGCUCAGAGAUGGGUGUGCCUCUUUUGGGGUCGGUUCACAGGUGGUGCAUGGCUGUCGUCAGCUCGUGUCGUGAGAUGUUGGGUUAAGUCCCGCAACGAGCGCAACCCUUGUUCACUGUCGCCAGCACGUUAUGGUGGGGACUCAGUGGAGACCGCCGGGGUCAACUCGGAGGAAGGUGGGGAUGACGUCAAGUCAUCAUGCCCCUUAUGUCAGGGCUUCACGCAUGCUACAAUGGCUGGUACAGAGAGUGGCGAGCCUGUGAGGGUGAGCGAAUCUCGGAAAGCCGGUCUCAGUUCGGAUUGGGGUCUGCAACUCGACCUCAUGAAGUCGGAGUCGCUAGUAAUCGCAGAUCAGCAACGCUGCGGUGAAUACGUUCCCGGGGCU
Molecule: ribosomal RNA, 1345 nt
Filed under: uncultured bacterium
Lineage: Bacteria
Description: partial 16S ribosomal RNA
Rfam family: Bacterial small subunit ribosomal RNA
Source: RNAcentral